GUGAGGAAUAUUGCGCAAUGGAGGCAACUCUGACGCAGCCAUGCCGCGUGCAGGAAGAAGGCGCUACGCGUUGUAAACUGCUUUUAACCGGGAAGAAACCCCAGGACGUGUCCUGGGUUGACGGUACCGGAGGAAUAAGCACCGGCUAACUUCGUGCCAGCAGCCGUGGUAAUACGAAGGGUGCACGCGUUAUCCGGAUUCAUUGGGUUUAAAGGGUGCGUAGGCGGAGCGUUAAGUCAGUGGUGAAAUCCUGCAGCUUAACUGUAGACUUGCCAUUGAUACUGGCGCUCUUGAGUGCGCUUGAAGUGGGCGGAAUGUGCCGUGUAGCGGUGAAAUGCUUAGAUAUGGCACAGAACACCAAUUGCGAAGGCAGCUCACUAAGGCGAUACUGACGCUGAGGCACGAAAGCGUGGGGAUCGAACAGGAUUAGAUACCCGUGUAGUCC
Molecule: ribosomal RNA, 445 nt
Filed under: uncultured bacterium
Lineage: Bacteria
Description: partial 16S ribosomal RNA
Rfam family: Bacterial small subunit ribosomal RNA
Source: RNAcentral